Molecule: transfer RNA, 72 nt
Filed under: Anaerolineales bacterium
Lineage: Bacteria; Bacillati; Chloroflexota; Anaerolineae; Anaerolineales
Description: tRNA-Lys
Rfam family: tRNA
About the family: Transfer RNA (tRNA) molecules are approximately 80 nucleotides in length. Their secondary structure includes four short double-helical elements and three loops (D, anti-codon, and T loops). Further hydrogen bonds mediate the characteristic L-shaped molecular structure. tRNAs have two regions of fundamental functional importance: the anti-codon, which is responsible for specific mRNA codon recognition, and the 3' end, to which the tRNAs corresponding amino acid is attached (by aminoacyl-tRNA synthetases). tRNAs cope with the degeneracy of the genetic code in two manners: having more than one tRNA (with a specific anti-codon) for a particular amino acid; and 'wobble' base-pairing, i.e. permitting non-standard base-pairing at the 3rd anti-codon position.
Source: RNAcentral
GGGCGCGUAGCUCAAUGGCAGAGCAGUAGCCUUUUAAGCUAUUUGUUGAGAGUUCGAGCCUCUCCGCGCUCA